GCCUACGGGGGGCAGCAGUGAGGAAUAUUGGUCAAUGGCCGAGAGGCUGAACCAGCCAAGUCGCGUGAGGGAUGACGGCCCUACGGGUUGUAAACCUCUUUUGUCGGGGAGCAAAGAGAGUCACGUGUGGCUCAUCGAGAGUACCCGAAGAAAAAGCAUCGGCUAACUCCGUGCCAGCAGCCGCGGUAAUACGUAGGGGGCAAGCGUUAUCCGGAUUUACUGGGUGUAAAGGGAGCGUAGACGGUUAUGUAAGUCUGGAGUGAAAGCCC
RNAcentral lists this ribosomal RNA (269 nucleotides) under uncultured bacterium. Its description in RNAcentral is "partial 16S ribosomal RNA". It matches the Rfam family "Bacterial small subunit ribosomal RNA", at positions 337 to 603 of the family's 1533-position model. The record is from RNAcentral.